RNAcentral lists this microRNA precursor (66 nucleotides) under Rattus norvegicus (Norway rat). RNAcentral describes it as "mir-3473 microRNA precursor family". It matches the Rfam family "mir-3473 microRNA precursor family". The record is from Rfam by way of RNAcentral. Lineage: Eukaryota; Metazoa; Chordata; Mammalia; Rodentia; Muridae.
ACUGCUGAGCCAUCUCUCCAGCCCCUUAAAAAUAUUCUUCAAGGGCUGGAGAGAUGGCUCAGUGGU